RNAcentral lists this ribosomal RNA (429 nucleotides) under Bacteroidota bacterium. RNAcentral describes it as "Bacteroidetes bacterium partial 16S ribosomal RNA". It matches the Rfam family "Bacterial small subunit ribosomal RNA", at positions 355 to 776 of the family's 1533-position model. Lineage: Bacteria; Pseudomonadati; Bacteroidota. The record is from RNAcentral.
UAGGGAAUCUUCCGCAAUGGACGCAAGUCUGACGGGGCAACGCCGCGUGAGUGAAGAAGGAUUUCGGUUCGUAAAACUCUGUUGUUAGAGAAGAACAGCGCAUAGAGUAACUGUUAUGCGUGUGACGGUAUCUAACCAGAAAGCCACGGCUAACUACGUGCCAGCAGCCGCGGUAAUACGUAGGUGGCAAGCGUUGUCCGGAUUUAUUGGGCGUAAAGCGAGCGCAGGCGGUCAAUUAAGUCUGAUGUGAAAGCCCCCGGCUCAACCGGGGAGGGUCAUUGGAAACUGGUUGACUUGAGUGCAGAAGAGGAGAGUGGAAUUCCAUGUGUAGCGGUGAAAUGCGUAGAUAUAUGGAGGAACACCAGUGGCGAAGGCGACUCUCUGGUCUGUAACUGACGCUGAGGCUCGAAAGCGUGGGUAGCAAACAGG